GGAUGAGCCCGCGGCCUAUCAGCUAGUUGGUGAGGUAACGGCCCACCAAGGCGACGACGGGUAGCCGGCCUGAGAGGGUGACCGGCCACACUGGGACUGAGACACGGCCCAGACUCCUACGGGAGGCAGCAGUGGGGAAUAUUGCACAAUGGGCGGAAGCCUGAUGCAGCAACGCCGCGUGAGGGACGACGGCCUUCGGGUUGUAAACCUCUUUUAGCAGGGAAGAAGCGAAAGUGACGGUACCUGCAGAAAAAGCACCGGUUAACUACGUGCCAGCAGCCGCGG
This 285-nucleotide ribosomal RNA is filed under the name uncultured Actinomycetales bacterium. RNAcentral describes it as "partial 16S ribosomal RNA". It matches the Rfam family "Bacterial small subunit ribosomal RNA", at positions 223 to 520 of the family's 1533-position model. The record is from RNAcentral. Lineage: Bacteria; Bacillati; Actinomycetota; Actinomycetes; Actinomycetales.